GGGGAAUUUUGGACAAUGGGCGCAAGCCUGAUCCAGCGACGCCGCGUGGAGGACGAAGGCCUUCGGGUUGUAAACUCCUUUUGGAGGGGAAGAAUAAAUUGACGGUACCCUCAGAAAAAGCCACGGCUAACUACGUGCCAGCAGCCGCGGUAAUACGUAGGUGGCGAGCGUUACUCGGAAUUACUAGGCGUAAAGCGUAUGUAGGUGGUUAGAUAAGUCUAUGGUGAAAUUUCCUGGCUUAACUGGGAAGGGACAUAGAUACUAUCUGGCUUGAGUGUGGGAGGGGGAGACGGAAUUCCUGGUGUAGCGGUGAAAUGCGUAGAUAUCAGGAGGAACACCGAUGGCGAAAGCAGUCUCCUGGCCCAAUACUGACACUGAGGUACGAAAGCUAGGGUAGCAAAC
Molecule: ribosomal RNA, 402 nt
Filed under: uncultured bacterium
Lineage: Bacteria
Description: bacterial SSU rRNA
Rfam family: Bacterial small subunit ribosomal RNA
Source: RNAcentral